This 460-nucleotide ribosomal RNA is filed under the name Klebsiella pneumoniae. Its description in RNAcentral is "partial 23S ribosomal RNA". It matches the Rfam family "Bacterial large subunit ribosomal RNA", at positions 2318 to 2777 of the family's 2925-position model. Lineage: Bacteria; Pseudomonadati; Pseudomonadota; Gammaproteobacteria; Enterobacterales; Enterobacteriaceae. RNAcentral also lists the same sequence under 1 other name. The record is from RNAcentral.
UAGCUAAUCCUGGUCGGACAUCAGGAGGUUAGUGCAAUGGCAUAAGCUAGCUUGACUGCGAGCGUGACGGCGCGAGCAGGUGCGAAAGCAGGUCAUAGUGAUCCGGUGGUUCUGAAUGGAAGGGCCAUCGCUCAACGGAUAAAAGGUACUCCGGGGAUAACAGGCUGAUACCGCCCAAGAGUUCAUAUCGACGGCGGUGUUUGGCACCUCGAUGUCGGCUCAUCACAUCCUGGGGCUGAAGUAGGUCCCAAGGGUAUGGCUGUUCGCCAUUUAAAGUGGUACGCGAGCUGGGUUUAGAACGUCGUGAGACAGUUCGGUCCCUAUCUGCCGUGGGCGCUGGAGAAUUGAGGGGGGCUGCUCCUAGUACGAGAGGACCGGAGUGGACGCAUCACUGGUGUUCGGGUUGUCAUGCCAAUGGCACUGCCCGGUAGCUAAAUGCGGAAGAGAUAAGUGCUGAAAG